Molecule: ribosomal RNA, 422 nt
Filed under: uncultured eukaryote
Lineage: Eukaryota
Description: bacterial SSU rRNA
Rfam family: Eukaryotic small subunit ribosomal RNA
Source: RNAcentral
GAUUGACGGACUGAAGGCUCUUUCUCGAUUCCGUGGAAAGUGGUGCAUGGCCGUUUUUGGUUGGUGGAUCGAUCCGUCUGGUUAAUUCCGUUAACGAACGAGACCUCGGCACUCCGAAUAGCGCGGCGGACGUCGCGGCCUCCGGGCCGUCUUCCGCACGAGCUUCUUAGAGGGACCGUCCCCCGCCGGGGAAGGAGGUGCGAGGCAACGACAGGUCUGUGAUGCCCUUAGAUGUUCUGGGCCGCACGCGCAUUACACUGACGCGUCCAACGGGUGACUCCCGACCCGAAGGGGCCGGGGAAUCCGCAAGGCGCGUCGUGAUGGGGAUUGAACGUUGCAAUUGUUGUUCACGAACGAGGAAUUCCUAGUAGGCGCGGGUCAUCAACCCGCGCCGAUUACGUCCCUGCCCUUUGUACACACCG